Molecule: ribosomal RNA, 330 nt
Filed under: uncultured bacterium
Lineage: Bacteria
Description: bacterial SSU rRNA
Rfam family: Bacterial small subunit ribosomal RNA
Source: RNAcentral
UGUGUAGGCGGUUCUCCAAGUUUGGUGUGAAAUCUCCCGGCUCAACCGGGAGGGUGCGCCGAAAACUGGGGGGCUAGAGUGCGGGAUGGGAGAGUGGAAUUCCUGGUGUAGCGGUGAAAUGCGUAGAUAUCAGGAGGAACACCGGUGGUGUAGACGGCUCUCUGGACCGUAACUGACGCUGAGACACGAAAGCGUGGGUAGCAAACAGGAUUAGAUACCCUGGUAGUCCACGCCCUAAACGAUGCAUAUUUGGUGUAGGUCAUUCAGUUGAUCUGUGCCGGAGCUAACGCGUUAAAUAUGCCGCCUGGGGAGUACAGUCGCAAGGCUGAA